This is a non-coding RNA of Megalobrama amblycephala (Wuchang bream), 401 nucleotides long. The record is from the annotation of a RefSeq genome assembly. Lineage: Eukaryota; Metazoa; Chordata; Actinopteri; Cypriniformes; Xenocyprididae.
CACACUUCUCAAACCAUGGUCUCCUCAUCUCUCUGGUUGUUUCUACUGCUUGCAGCUGUCUCUCGUGUCCACUGUGUUGAACUGACCCAGACUGAUUCUGUGGUCUUAAGGCCUGGUCAGGUUUUGACUCUGUCCUGUAAGAUCUCUGGAUAUUCAUUGACUGACAGCAACUACUGCACUCACUGGAUACGACAGGCUGCAGGAAAAGCUCUGGAAUGGAUUGGAAGAAUAUGUGGUAGCGGUAACACAUAUUACAGUGAUAAACUGAAAAGUAGAUAUCAAGUUAGCAGAGACACUUCCAGCAGCACAGUGACUCUACAAGGACAGAAUAUGCAGACUGAGGACACAGCUGUGUAUUACUGCGCCAGAGAGUCACAGUGACACAAACCAUAAGCAGCUUU